CUCAGUGAAAUUGAACUCGCUGUGAAGAUGCAGUGUACCCGCGGCAAGACGGAAAGACCCCGUGAACCUUUACUAUAGCUUGACACUGAACAUUGAGCCUUGAUGUGUAGGAUAGGUGGGAGGCUUUGAAGUGUGGACGCCAGUCUGCAUGGAGCCGACCUUGAAAUACCACCCUUUAAUGUUUGAUGUUCUAACGUGGGCCCCUUACCGGGGUUGCGGACAGUGUCUGGUGGGUAGUUUGACUGGGGCGGUCUCCUCCUAAAGAGUAACGGAGGAGCACGAAGGUUGGCUAAUCCUGGUCGGACAUCAGGAGGUUAGUGCAAUGGCAUAAGCCAGCUUGACUGCGAGCGUGACGGCGCGAGCAGGUGCGAAAGCAGGUCAUAGUGAUCCGGUGGUUCUGAAUGGAAGGGCCAUCGCUCAACGGAUAAAAGGUACUCCGGGGAUAACAGGCUGAUACCGCCCAAGAGUUCAUAUCGACGGCGGUGUUUGGCACCUCGAUGUCGGCUCAUCACAUCCUGGGGCUGAAGUAGGUCCCAAGGGUAUGGCUGUUCGCCAUUUAAAGUGGUACGCGAGCUGGGUUUAGAACGUCGUGAGACAGUUCGGUCCCUAUCUGCCGUGGGCGCUGGAGAACUGAGGGGGGCUGCUCCUAGUACGAGAGGACCGGAGUGGACGCAUCACUGGUGUUCGGGUUGUCAUGCCAAUGGCACUGCCCGGUAGCUAAAUGCGGAAGAGAUAAGUGCUGAAAGCAUCUAAGCACGAAACUUGCCCCGAGAUGAGUUCUCCCUGACUCCUUGAGAGUCCUGAAGGAACGUUGAAGACGACGACGUUGAUAGGCCGGGUGUGUAAGCGCAGCGAUGCGUUGAGCUAACCGGUACUAAUGAACCGUGAGGCUUAACCUU
This 899-nucleotide ribosomal RNA is filed under the name Escherichia coli. RNAcentral's name for it is "partial 23S ribosomal RNA". It matches the Rfam family "Bacterial large subunit ribosomal RNA", at positions 2032 to 2925 of the family's 2925-position model. RNAcentral also lists the same sequence under 1 other name. The record is from RNAcentral. Lineage: Bacteria; Pseudomonadati; Pseudomonadota; Gammaproteobacteria; Enterobacterales; Enterobacteriaceae.